UGUCAUUCAGAGGUUGUGCCAGCCUUUAUGUGUUAUUUGGCUUGAAGAGGAACUCUCUCUGCGAAAUGGCAAAACUAACACAGAAUAUCUUUCUUCAGCAAUUAAUAACUUAAAUGGAUAUGGAGUCCUGACAAACAUCAGAAAGUCAGGGAAGGAGCAACUAUUUGCUGAAUUUAUUUGUGUUCUUAGCUUUGGUUUUCUCAGGAAACCUGGCUUUUAUAAUGAUAGCUUGUUUAUGGAGCACGGAGUUUCUAUACUGGAGGAUUUGGUUA
Molecule: unclassified non-coding RNA, 272 nt
Filed under: Hevea brasiliensis (rubber tree)
Lineage: Eukaryota; Viridiplantae; Streptophyta; Magnoliopsida; Malpighiales; Euphorbiaceae
Source: RNAcentral